This is a long non-coding RNA of Gasterosteus aculeatus aculeatus (three-spined stickleback), 2286 nucleotides long. NCBI's taxonomy places the organism in Eukaryota, Metazoa, Chordata, Actinopteri, Perciformes, Gasterosteidae. The record is from Ensembl.
ACACUGAAAAAACGAACUUGGUGGUGUAGUAAAAUAUACUAAUUAAACUGUCCUAAUGUCUACAAUUAAAUUUUUCGUUUCUGCGGGAACUAGAUUUUGUCAAGUAAAAUUACACGUAUGUACACAAUUUAUUUAUGUAUUUAAAAUGGCUGUGUGGAAGGAGUAAGUCUUAUUAUGGAUGUUUUCAUAACAUUUAAAUGUUUUUUAGUCUCUGCUAGAAACACUAAAAUACUGAGUAAAUUUUACGACACUAUUUUAGAGUGCGUUUGAAUCAGCGCAUGCGCAUUGGGACAAACGAAAGAACCGCGCAGAUGUCCAUUGUCCGUCCGUUCGUUGGCAGCAGACAGAGUUGUGAAUAUCUCCGGAAUCUCUCAGGUAAGUAACAGCUUUAUCCAUAAAAUAAUUUAUUAUCAGUUUAAAACGCGUUUUGGUGAUUAGUUGGAAGCAUUGUAUGGACUGCACACCGAGCGGUCUACACCAAGGUUUGUGUGAUGUAGCUUGAUGCUAGCGGGCUAGUUAUUAGCCAGUUCAUUCCACCAGAGUCGCACACCGCGCGGUUAAUUUGCGAGAUACUAUAUCUUAUUCAGAGCUAUUGUAUUUUGUCUCAUGUACUGUCCCGUGUAGUGCGAAUAUAAGACAACGCUACGCCAAAGUUUUUCGUUUUUUUAGUUAUUGUCUAUGUGCUUUCACCUUGAAACAUCAUCUCAACUUUUAGCAUGGCGGCCGCGUUGCGGUGUAUCGUUGAAGCUGCGUGCCACGGUCAAGAGACAAACACAACAUGAAAAUGGCUGUAAAUUAAUCUAUAAAUUAUAAGUUGCCCUUAAAAAUAUGUGUUUUCAUUCACAGGCGACUGUUUUUGUAUUUAGCCGGCUGGGACAUGAGGUGACCAGAGAGAGUCAGGAGCGCUGGGCUGUUCAGUGACUAAUCAAAUACUGCACCGUUGUGAUUAGUUCAGAUCAAGAUCUACAGAUCAAGGAGGAGUUUUGGAGAAUAACUACAAUUUCUCUAGAGCAAAGCUUCAUGUACAAACUAGACCACUAUACACCAAAGCUUACUGCCCUGAUGAAAGCCAAGGGAGGUGUUGUGGGGACCAGGCUGAGGCCCCAUCUGGAUAAACUGAGUCAGAACCCAAGCACUGACAUGUGACGUGACGCAGUUAUCAGUGGCCUCAUACUAUUCCUUGGUGAAAAAGAAGAGAAACUUUUCGAAGAUUGCCUGGAGGACAAUCGCAGUGAUGCCACUCAACACAUAGUCAAGAUCCUGGUUGUCCAUGGUACUGAUGGAGAAGAACCAGUAGAUGUUUCCAUCAUUCUUGAAGGGAAGGAGGUAUUGACACGAUGCAACAGCACAGCCAAAGCUUGCACGUUGCUAAUGGGACUGAUUUAUUCCCUGAACCUUGCCUACCCCUCGACUCUGCGCUACACCUUUGAGGUGUUUCAAAAACUUUUCCUGGAACUGAAUGGGAUAAAGCUGUCACCAAAAGUACAUCUUUAAAGUUGAAGUUGCUGUCUGAAAGGAAUUUUCUUUCUUAAAUGUUCCUAAUGUUGUCAACAAAGGCAACUGCUGUCAUUCAUGCUCACAAGGUAAAAAAAAAGUUAAAAAUAACCUUUGUUUUAAAGGUUUUAACAGAGGAUUUGAUGUUGUCCUCAAACUUUAAUGUUUUAACCGAAUGCUAAUAUAAAUAUGUUAAUGGAUGUUGUUGUUUAGAAUGUUGUUCAUGUCAGUACAGCAUAUUUUGUCAGGUCAAACCCUCAAUCUGUUUUGUCACCUGAUGUGCCCUGUUUAGUUUAAUGCGUCCAGGAGUCAAAAACAUUUUGAUUUUCCAGUGAUAUGCUUUUUUUCUGUAUAGCGUAAUGAUCACUCAGUAAAGGUAAACUUUUUUCUUUAUUGAUUUACUGCUGCUGAGAUUUAAUUUAAUUUUUUGUCAUGUGAAAUGUUGACUGCUGUUUCAUGUACAGUUCUACAUAGCUGUAUAAAAUGAGGUGUUACGUAAGGUACCUGACAAAGGUUUAUGAAUAAAUAAUGGAAUUGUAUUUUAGCCGUGUGAUUAUUAAUAGUAUUUGGUAAUAUUUAUCAAAAGAGAAUUUGCAACAUUUACAUAAAUGAAUUAGGUAAUAUAACUUCAAACAACCAAGUAAUUAAAAUGAUCAAACAGGAUAAAAAGUACUUGAUAAUUUUACGACAGUAAAUAUCAAAGAUAAAUAAAAUCUACUCAAUAUUUUGAUGUUGUAAAUGUAUAUAUAUAUACAAAAAAUAUAGUAUAUUGUACUUAAUUUGUGUGUGUAA